RNAcentral lists this ribosomal RNA (305 nucleotides) under uncultured bacterium. Its description in RNAcentral is "bacterial SSU rRNA". It matches the Rfam family "Bacterial small subunit ribosomal RNA", at positions 334 to 657 of the family's 1533-position model. The record is from RNAcentral.
UUUUCCUACGGGGGGCAGCAGUCGGGAAUAUUGCGCAAUGGAGGAAACUCUGACGCAGUGACGCCGCGUAUAGGAAGAAGGUUUUCGGAUUGUAAACUAUUGUCGUGAGGGAAGAAAUUGACAGUACCUCAGGAGGAAGCUCCGGCUAACUAUGUGCCAGCAGCCGCGGUAAUACAUAGGGAGCAAGCGUUAUCCGGAUUUAUUGGGUUUAAAGGGUGCGUAGGCGGGCUUUUAAGUCAGCGGUAAAAAUUCGGGGCUCAACCCCGUCCGGCCGUUGAAACUGGGGGCCUUGAGUGGGCGGGAAG